CGCCCACACGAAGACGGAGUUGCUAGUAAUCCCGGAUCAGCACGCCGGGGUGAAUGCGUUCCCGGGUCUUGUACACACCGCCCGUCAAGCCAUGGGAGUUGGGAGUACCCGAAGUCGGUGAGCUAACCAGCAAUGGAGGCAACUGCCUAAGGUAAAACCAAUGACUGGGGUUAAGUCGUAACAAGGUAGCCGUAUCGGAAGGUGCGGCUGGAUCACCUCCUUU
This 223-nucleotide ribosomal RNA is filed under the name Bacillota bacterium. RNAcentral describes it as "partial 16S ribosomal RNA". It matches the Rfam family "Bacterial small subunit ribosomal RNA", at positions 1313 to 1533 of the family's 1533-position model. Lineage: Bacteria; Bacillati; Bacillota. The record is from RNAcentral.